This 228-nucleotide long non-coding RNA is filed under the name Prunus persica (peach). RNAcentral's name for it is "long non-coding RNA (PPER_LNC003339)". Lineage: Eukaryota; Viridiplantae; Streptophyta; Magnoliopsida; Rosales; Rosaceae. The record is from RNAcentral.
UUGAGUGUAAUUGGAGGGUUCCAAUGACAAAGGAUCUUGAAGAGUGGUUGUUAAUCCUUGUGGCAUUGGGUGUCGACUCAUUGAGACUUUUGAAGUUUUCACGAUCCGGUGAAUGAGUAGGACUGAUGGAUGAUGCUUGGUGAUUAAUAGAAGCAUUACGUGAAGCAUGGGGACUACUAUAUGAAUUUUCGAGUGAUGCUUCAUGAGCAGCGGGUUGGACAAAAUGGA